MicroRNA precursor from Nicotiana attenuata, 96 nucleotides. It matches the Rfam family "MIR6152 microRNA precursor family". NCBI's taxonomy places the organism in Eukaryota, Viridiplantae, Streptophyta, Magnoliopsida, Solanales, Solanaceae. The record is from Rfam.
UGGACAGAUUAUUGUAUUCGAAUGUAUUCACGACGUGAAACAGGGGAUUACACUGUUUUUAAACGGAAAGUGAAUCAAUUAACAUAAUAGACUCCU